GGGCCCAUGGUAUAAUGGAUAGCACGUCGGUUUCCGGAGCCGAAGAUCCCAGUUCGAUUCUGGGUGGGCCUA
Molecule: transfer RNA, 72 nt
Filed under: Rubritalea squalenifaciens DSM 18772
Lineage: Bacteria; Pseudomonadati; Verrucomicrobiota; Verrucomicrobiia; Verrucomicrobiales; Rubritaleaceae
Rfam family: tRNA
About the family: Transfer RNA (tRNA) molecules are approximately 80 nucleotides in length. Their secondary structure includes four short double-helical elements and three loops (D, anti-codon, and T loops). Further hydrogen bonds mediate the characteristic L-shaped molecular structure. tRNAs have two regions of fundamental functional importance: the anti-codon, which is responsible for specific mRNA codon recognition, and the 3' end, to which the tRNAs corresponding amino acid is attached (by aminoacyl-tRNA synthetases). tRNAs cope with the degeneracy of the genetic code in two manners: having more than one tRNA (with a specific anti-codon) for a particular amino acid; and 'wobble' base-pairing, i.e. permitting non-standard base-pairing at the 3rd anti-codon position.
Source: Rfam by way of RNAcentral